RNAcentral lists this long non-coding RNA (1485 nucleotides) under Struthio camelus australis. RNAcentral's name for it is "lncRNA (ENSSCUG00000011154.1)". The record is from RNAcentral. Lineage: Eukaryota; Metazoa; Chordata; Aves; Struthioniformes; Struthionidae.
UCUGAAGGCUUGAUAGUAAAGUCCCCAGUGGCAUAUGUUGUAAAUCGUUGUCUUUUUUUAUAGGUUUUAGGAUAGAAAAAUGCCACCUACCUGAUGAGAGAGGUUGCAGCUGACAGCUUGAGUGUCCUAACUACAUUAAAUAUAACAAAAAGCUGUUCCCUUUCCUGAAUAAUUUACAUGGCUGCAUGGAAGAGAGGUACUGUGGACCCUUCCUUGCUUAACGAGCAGCAGCGUGAAAUGUCUUUUUCUCCGAAACACGUGCCUAACUGUCCCUUCCACUCUGAUAACUAUAAAUACGUGGGACUGUUGUAUGCACGUGCAGACGUUUCUUAUUCCUAGAGCAGGAUACAGCUCUCUUGUGCCACAUCAGGGCUUUGAGCGAGUAAAUAAGUCUGUUGCUAUUCAUAAAGCCUCUCUAUUCUAUUCAAACACAAAAGAAAAUCCAUGAGCUACUUUUUAGGAGCACAGUGAAACUGUCUGGUAUCUGUAAAAAAAAAAAAAAAAAGUGCUUGCAGCUCUGGACAGUAUCAGAUCUUGGUUCAGCUCCAGGCUCUGCCAUUAGCAGUGGUGACCUCAGGCUGGUUGUUGCAUUUUUGAGCCUCCGUUUUCCUCUCUGUAACACCAAAGUAACUGCUUCCUUUUUGUUUUAUCUGCUCUGAGUUGUUUCAGGCAGCAUGUGUCGCUCCUGCAAAUAACACGCAACACUGCUGCAAGAACUGCUGGGGCGCGCUGGCGGCCGGCCUCUCAUCAGCCAGCGAGGGGCUGACCAGGCGAGCGGCGGAUGUUGGGGUCGAUGAUUCAGAUGGUGACAGGAAACCAGAGACUGGUUUACAAUCCCCAGGAGGAACCAGCUCCAGCAAUUGCGGCUGUGAGCUGAGGAGAUGGGGUGGCCGGGCGAGAGCGACUGAUGCUGCAGCUACUAAGCGAGAAAAGAAGCAGAACAAACGGAGGAGUCAGCUCCAAAACCAGCCGAGGUUCGAGGUGGUUCGAUCCCGUGCUACUAUAACGAGAAGGCUAGAACAAAAUAAGGAACCAGAAAACUUACCAGGGAUAAGGAAAGCCAGCGAGGAACUCAAUACCGCCCGUCAUAUUGGAAGUGGUAAGCAUUUCUACCAAGAUGCUCAUCUAUUUAAAGCUCUGUCGGUCUACGCAGGAGUGGGGGAACUACCUAAUGCAAAAUUUAGAAAUGGGAACGUUGCAGAUCUCUGCUCGUGGUGACGGCUGGGAGCUCCCAGCAGCUUUGGGAAAACGGAGCCUCCGAGAGGACGUUCAUUCACGGCCAGCGCCCAGGCCCCGGGCAGGGCAUGGUGGGGGGUUAUCUUGGAAACAAGCUGGACGAUGAUAAAACUAAUUCCCGUGAUCAGAACCUACCCAUUAUGCUUGUGGCUGGUCUACCCAGGGGCUCCAGGGGCAGUUGAUAAGAACUAGCCAUGAUUCAACUUUAAAAUCCAGUGGUUGUCUCCCGAGCCAGGCGCAAGGGGCUGG